UAACACCGCUGGCUCGCCUUCGUACCCAUUCAUCUACCCACACAAAAGCCUUCUCGAUUAUCUCAUCUACAUUGCCCUCAUUCAAUACUUGUCCACGCAAAAUGCCUCGGAUAAGCCCUGUCACAGUGCAACAAGAUACGAUGCACCGGGGAUCUGCGUGUGUGAUGGCUGAGUAAUCUGCGGCAAUCUGGAAGGGUCUCUGGAAGUGUAGCAAAGAUGCAUAUCACGCCCAACGGGUGUGUGCGCAUCAACGAUCCAUUUGGUGCUAUGUUUCUAUUUGAUUUAACCCAGCAAUCAUAGGCGACUUGGACAGGGCUGUCAAGAUAGUUCUUACUGAGAACUACCUGAAAAUCGUGUUUUGCGGCGUAGCAGAAGCGUCGUUAGCUUGUGUAUAUCUGUGCAACCUAGAAAAACAAAAUGAACAGAGA
Molecule: small RNA, 428 nt
Filed under: Histoplasma ohiense
Lineage: Eukaryota; Fungi; Ascomycota; Eurotiomycetes; Onygenales; Ajellomycetaceae
Description: hypothetical lncRNA
Source: RNAcentral